CGCGCAGCAGCACGAUCUAAGAGCCGCCGCCCCAGGAAGGUCAGCAGCUCCCCGUCAGCUCUGCCUCUUCUUCCUCCUGAGCUUGAAGGAAAGCCAGGGGGGCUUCAGGGAGGGAGUGUCUCACCCACAGUGUCUUACCCGCUGCAGUGGGUCGACUGUGGCCAAGAGGCUGGGCUGAGAAGCAGGAUGAAGCGGGUGCCUGUGGCUGGUGGUGAGAAGGGGAGCCUGACAGCUGGGCUAGUGGGCGAUGGCGGGAGGGGCCCGCCGUGUCCGCUGAGCACCUGCUACUCUCCAAGUGCUUGCAUGGUGGUGGAACACACCCGCUCGGAGUUUCAUCACUGCAAGAUGCAUAGGGCAAAGCCUGGGUGAGUCCAGCGUCCGCGGCCUGACCCCGAAGCUCCCGCCUGGCCUGACCUGCCUCUCUGGGGGGCUCCCCGGGACCGCCCAUGCCUCGCCCUCCUGCCCUUCUCUAGGGAAACUACCCCAGUGUGGCCUGACCCUCUGGGGGCCAAAGUGGCUUGAGCAGCCCAUGUUCCGGGGCAUCCCACAGUCCCAGGGCUACCAUCCACAGCCAGCGUGACGGCCGUACCAUGCUGUUCUGCUUGGGUCUGGACGUGCAGUGGUUGAGACGGAGAGGAAGAGGAAGCUGUGGGUGAGCAGAGGGCUGGCAGUGCCAGCCAGGGGCCUGAGACCCCUCACUGAUCCCCCCUUGGAGGGAUCCUCCAGGUUUCCUGUCCACAGAGCCCCUGCUCUACACAGACCCUGUCCUUCCUCGCAGGUACCUGGACCUGGAGGGAAUGUCUCCACCCUCGAGGAGGAGCCGGGGUCGAGAGCCGGUGCACCGGGGACCUGCAGAGCUCACCGGGCAGCCGUGGUCGGGGGGUGGGGUGGCGUCCCCCUGGGGCUGCCCCCGGCUCCGCUGCAGAAGAGAUGGUCAUGAGGUCCUCAGGGUCAUCACAGGGAUGGGGCGCCCACAGCGGCAGGGGCGUGGACGGCUCCCCAAGGCCAUUCCUUCAUCCUCAGCCUCCGCCAUGCCUGCCACUCACCCUUUCACAGCCAUACUCAGCCAUCUUCUCAGAAGACCCCCUCCUUCCUCUGGCCUCUCUGAGCCCCCUCCUUCACCUCCGUGCCCUGCAAUGUCUCUUUCUGUAUUUGAUCACCUAUGACCAGGUGUCACCGCGUGCCCUCCUUUUCAUGGAAAGACUGUGAGACCUCAUGAAAGCAGGGACCACACGGGGCCCCCAUCGCCCCAUGCUCACAUGCCCACCGCACGUCCUGGGGAAGGGAAACCGGACUGGAGAUCAAUCCAGAGAAGGCCAGGGCACCAAUGUCUCUCUCUCAUCCUCUUGCCAAACUCCACCCCCAGGGAGAAGAAAGGGAUAGAACUUAAAAUGGUGCGAGCGUGUUAAAUCCAUCCAACCGAGCAUGUAAGACGUGCACUUCACCUAAGUCACCUCUCAAACUAGGUUCAAGCAGAGGCCAGUGGUCUGCACAUCUGGAAGGAAAAGCACCAGCAGCGCCAUGGACAAACAGCCCCCUCCCAGCUGCCCAGGGAUGCACAGAGGGACAGGGGUCUAAGGGGGCAGCCUUCUCUCAGCGCUGGCUUCCAGCGUCUCUGCUGAAUCACAGACCAUGACCCAUGACUCAAAGGGUGGUGACUGCACAGGGCAGGGCAGGACAGGGAAAGAAUGGCUUCGAGAAGGCAGUGGAAGCUGCCCAAACUGCUGACCCAGGAGCAUAAUGGUGAACAGGAUGAUGAGGCCACGGGAACCAAACUGAUGACCUUGCCAGGGAGUACCCAUCCCCCUCCUGCCUCCCCAUCACCACCACCACCUUCUGCUUCCUCCUUC
This is a long non-coding RNA of Aethalodelphis obliquidens (Pacific white-sided dolphin), 1850 nucleotides long. RefSeq lists it as uncharacterized. The record is from RefSeq and is a predicted model, not a curated record. The transcript is spliced from 3 exons. Lineage: Eukaryota; Metazoa; Chordata; Mammalia; Artiodactyla; Delphinidae.